Molecule: ribosomal RNA, 468 nt
Filed under: uncultured bacterium
Lineage: Bacteria
Description: partial 16S ribosomal RNA
Rfam family: Bacterial small subunit ribosomal RNA
Source: RNAcentral
GACGAACGCUGGCGGCGUGCUUAACACAUGCAAGUCGAACGGAAAGGCCCUGCUUUUGAGGGGUGCUCGAGUGGCGAACGGAUGAGUAACACGUGAGUACCCUGCCCUUGACUUAGGGAUAACUACAGGAAACUGAGGCUAAUACCGGAUAGGAGCUCCAGCUGCAUGGUGGGGGUUGGUUAGUUUCGGCGGUUGGGGUUGGACUCGCGGCUGAUCAGCUUGUUGGUGGGGUAGUGGCUUACCAAGGCUUUGACGGGUAGCCGGCCUGAGAGGGUGACCGGCCACAUUGGGACUGAGAUACGGCCCGGACUACUACGGGAGGCAGCGGAGUGGAAUAUUGUACAAUGGGCGGAAGCCUGGUGCAGCAACGCCGCGUGCGGGAUGACGGCCUUCGGUUUGUGAACCGCUUUCGCCUGUAACGAAGCGUGAGUGACGGUAAUGUGUAAAGAAGCACCGGCUAACUACGUG